ACUCAAAUGAAUUGACGGGGGCCCGCACAAGCAGUGGAGCAUGUGGUUUAAUUCGAUGCAACGCGAAGAACCUUACCUGGGCUCGAAAUGUAGAGGACGUUACAAGAGAUUGUAAUUCCCGUAAGGGUCUCUAUAUAGGUGCUGCAUGGCUGUCGUCAGCUCGUGCCGUGAGGUGUUUGGUUAAGUCCAGCAACGAGCGCAACCCUUAUCGUUAGUUGCCAACGCGUCAAGGCGGGAACUCUAACGAGACUGCCUAGGUUAACUAGGAGGAAGGUGAGGAUGACGUCAAGUCCGCAUGGCCUUUAUGUCCAGGGCUACACACGUGCUACAAUGGUCGGUACAGAAGGCAGCGAAGCCGCGAGGUGGAGCAAAUCCUAUAAAACCGAUCUCAGUUCAGAUUGCAGUCUGCAACUCGGCUGCAUGAAGUUGGAAUUGCUAGUAAUGGCGUGUCAGCAACAACGCCGUGAAUACGUUCCCGGGCCUUGUACACACCGCCCGU
Molecule: ribosomal RNA, 499 nt
Filed under: uncultured bacterium
Lineage: Bacteria
Description: partial 16S ribosomal RNA
Rfam family: Bacterial small subunit ribosomal RNA
Source: RNAcentral